Methylophaga sp. 41_12_T18 is the source of this 97-nucleotide non-coding RNA. NCBI's taxonomy places the organism in Bacteria, Pseudomonadati, Pseudomonadota, Gammaproteobacteria, Thiotrichales, Piscirickettsiaceae. The record is from Rfam.
UGCUGGUCUCCUCGCGACGAUAUGUUGGUUAGCCCGUCAGGCCCGGAAGGGAGCAGCGGAGCCUUCGGACUCGAGCGCCGAGAUCUGGCUGGUACGG